This 2215-nucleotide unclassified non-coding RNA is filed under the name Hevea brasiliensis (rubber tree). Lineage: Eukaryota; Viridiplantae; Streptophyta; Magnoliopsida; Malpighiales; Euphorbiaceae. The record is from RNAcentral.
GGGGAUUUCACAUUAUUAAUUGUGGAUCAACUUAAUCUAAACGAUUACAUAAUGAUUUUCCAAAACAGACCAAACGCAAGCUGUCUCGUCCGAAUGAGUCCUAGAAACAUGGAUUGGGCCACAAUGCAUUCGUCACUUUCCCCGGUCAACGCAGCCAAAAUACUCCGGUGGAAGAAGUCUUCUCUCUGGCCAUAUUGCCACUGGGACAGACACCGAUAAACGCCGCCGUCUCAACCAAAAUAAUAUGUACCAAGAGAGAAAUAGUAAACCCUUCCCAUUUCUCUCCACUCGCUUUCGUAAAAGCUCUGGCUCCGCUACCGUCAUGCCACCCUCAUCAUCCACCACCACCACCUCCACCAACAAGGCCCUAAUUCUACGCCCUUCGCGCCUCAAAGAUAUUCUCUUAGUUUUCUCCCUCCUCUUAAUCCUCCACCUCCUCUUUCGCGCUCCACCUCCACCAUCUUCCGUCCAACGCGCCGCCACUAUCGGAGCUUUAACCUCGAGUCCCACCACGCGUAGUCAUCUCCUCUUCUCCAUUGCCUCCUCCACCUCCUCCUUUCCUCGCCGCGCGUCCUACCUCCGCCUCUGGUACAAUCCCAACUCUACUCGCGCAUUUACCUUCCUUGACGUUAACGCAUCCCUUUCUGUUGAUCCCACCCUUCCUCCCGUGAUCCUAUCCAAAGACACCUCUCGUUUCCCCUACACCUUCAAGGGCGGUCUAAGGUCGGCGAUUCGGCUGGCGCGGUUGGUGAAAGAGGCGGUGGACCUCGAUCAAUCAAAUGUGCGGUGGUUUGUGUUCGGAGACGAUGACACGGUGUUUUUCGUGGAAAAUUUGGUGAAAACGUUGUCCAAGUAUGACCAUAAUAAAUGGUAUUAUAUAGGGAGCAAUUCAGAGAGUUAUGAGCAGAAUUUGAAGUAUUCAUUUGAUAUGGCCUUUGGAGGUGGAGGUUUCGCGAUAAGUUAUUCACUUGGUAGGGUUUUGGCUAGGGUUUUGGAUUCGUGUUUGGUGCGAUAUGCCCAUUUGUACGGGAGUGAUGCCAGGGUUUUCUCUUGCUUGGCAGAGUUGGGUGUUGGGUUGACUCAUGAACCAGGGUUCCAUCAGGUUGAUUUACGGGGCAAUUUGUUUGGCUUGCUUUCUGCACAUCCAUUGUCACCAUUGGUGUCUCUUCAUCAUUUAGAUGCUGCAGACCCACUCUUUCCUUAUACAAGCAAGGCUCAAGCUGCAGAACACCUUUUUGAAGCUGCAAAUGUUGAUCCUGUCAGGAUCUUGCAGCAAACAGUUUGCUAUGACCGUACAAGUUCAUUGACUGUUUCAGUUGCAUGGGGUUAUUCUGUUCAGGUGUUUGAAGGCAAUGAGCUUCUUCCAGAUAUCCUUUCUCUACAGAGGACCUUUAGACCAUGGAGGAGAAGUGCAAAUAUUGAAUCCAGUCAUUAUAUGUUUAAUAUGAGAGAAUAUCCUAGGCAUCCAUGUAAAAGACCUCUUGUAUUCUUUAUGGAGAAUGUUACAUUUGGUGAUGGUGGUAUUUGGAGCACUUACACCAAGGACGAUAUUGGCGGUUGCUCCAGAGCUAAAGCUAUAAAGAAUCUGGAGCAUGUAAGAGUAUUUUCCCAGAAACUAGAACCUGAUAUUGGACAGGUAUUUACUUGAUUGGUUUAAAUAUCUUGAGUUGAAAUAAGGUUGGCAAUUUUCUCAUAUUGUGCUUGAAGUUGUUGUUUGUGUUACUGUCAGCUUUUAAAUGUUAUUUUCCUUCUAUUUCAGAUUAAGGCUCUGCGUCGACAAUGUUGUGACAUUUCUCCCUCAUUUAAUGAAUCAAUGGUCAUUAGCAUUAGGCAAUGUGGCACAGAUGAAUUAAUUUCUAUGCAUUUCUAGUCUUUCUUGGGGAAUGACUGCUGUACAGAAAUGCCAUUAACGAGAAAACUCUCAGAGUUUGAAUUUUUGAUCCUUGUUGUUUAGGAAAGAAUGACUUGUGAUUGACCACUUGAUGCUGCCAAGGGAUUCAAGAAAAUUCAUUGUGAAAUACGUGAGAAGCUUAAGAUUAUAGUCCACUUCUAAUGUAGAGUUCGGGGGAAUUAUAAUUGUUAUGUAUCUAUAUGAAUAAUAUUAGUUGUUGGUUCUUUAUUUAAGUCAUAUGGAUAAUUUUGUAAUUUCAGAAUUUUUAUGGAAAUAUUUAAAUUUUUAUUCUUUAUAUAUAGUCCUUGUUGGUUAAGGAUUACU